RNAcentral lists this ribosomal RNA (449 nucleotides) under uncultured organism. RNAcentral describes it as "partial 16S ribosomal RNA". It matches the Rfam family "Bacterial small subunit ribosomal RNA", at positions 334 to 797 of the family's 1533-position model. The record is from RNAcentral.
CACUCCUACGGGAGGCAGCAGUGGGGAAUUUUACGCAAUGGGGGAAACCCUGACGUAGCGACACCGCGUGAGCGAAGAAGCCCUUUGGGGUGUAAAGCUCUGUCAGCUGGAACGAAAACAAUGACGGUACCAGCAGAGGAAGCAUCGGCUAACUACGUGCCAGCAGCCGCGGUAAGACGUAGGAUGCGAGCGUUGUCCGGAUUUAUUGGGCGUAAAGAGUUCGUAGGUGGUUUGUUAAGUUUGGUGUUAAAGAUCGGGGCUCAACCCUGGGACUGCACUGAAUACUGGCAGACUCGAGUGUGGUAGAGGCUAGUGGAAUUCCCAGUGUAGCGGUGAAAUGCGUAGAUAUUGGGAAGAACACCGGUGGCGUAGGCGACUAGCUGGGCCAUAACUGACGCUGAGGAACGAAAGCCAGGGGAGCGAAUGGGAUUAGAUACCCGAGUAGUCCC